Molecule: long non-coding RNA, 1442 nt
Organism: Hemiscyllium ocellatum (epaulette shark)
Lineage: Eukaryota; Metazoa; Chordata; Chondrichthyes; Orectolobiformes; Hemiscylliidae
Exons: 2
Source: RefSeq, a predicted model, not a curated record
ACGGGGAGGCAUGACCAAUGGGAAGCUUUGGAGGACCGGAAGGAAGGCUGGUCCUCCUACCAAAGCAUCCCCUCAUUGUCUGAAUGCGGAAGUUGGAUCAUGAGCUCCUGCUGCUCUCUCUCUCUGAAUGAAGAUUGAGUGUUACCCCAGACUGCACCACCCUCUGCUUUCACAGGAGGAUUUACCUGCAUAUCUUGAACUAAUUGCCUCAGCCAGCUUGACUCAUUGGGACUGGAAUUUUAUCCAUCUUUUGAGUGGAGAAGGAGGAUUGUCCCGCCUGCUUCCAGAGAUCUGACUGGUAAAGCACUGAGAUGCCGCUGUUCGAGGGUGGAGGGAGCUUUACCGGAGCGGAGAGUUAGCCAGCCGGCCACCCGCAGCAGAGUGGGACGUCAGAGGGAGCGUCGAACCUGGAGGGAGCCCGCGCCGUGGGGAAACCGUGGAAGUGUGGGGAAUGCGGGAAGGGGUUUCGAGUCCCCUCUGAGCUGGAGAUCCACCGGCGCGGUCACACCGGGGAGAGGCAGUUCUCCUGCCCCGAGUCCGGGAAGGCCUUCAUUGGGUCCUCCAAGCUGCUGAGGCACCGGCGGGUCCACACCGGGGACAGGCCGUACCCCUGCCCCGAGUGUGGCAAGGCCCUUCACCCAGCUGUCCCACCUGCAGACGCACCGGCGCCUCCACACACCAGGGAGAGGCCUCUCACCUGCCCCGGGGGCGGCAAGGCCUUCAAUCGAUCGCCGACCCUGCGGACGCACAGGCGCCUUCCCAACGUGACCGCACGGAGUUGAAGUCUGCAGCGAAUCCCACCCAGGACUGGGGGGGGAUCGUGCCCGUGGGGGGGAUUGUGCCCCGUUCGAAGACAGUGGGUGAAGCGGGAAGGGAGCGAGGCUUCCUUUCUACCGGACUGGCCGCUCUCGCUCCCUUUGCUUCCCGUGGGACCGAUGCUGUUUGAGGCUGGGACUGCACGUUCCCCGGGCCAAAGAUCUGCAGGAGCUGAGGAAGUGCACUCCUUUCACACCGGAUGGUAAAUCAUGUUUGUCCCAUCUAUUUCAGUCUUAAAUACCCUCCGUGACCUGGCCUCCCAGCCUCCUGUGGCAGUGAAUUCCACAGAUUCCCCACUCUCUGUCUGAAGAGGUUUCUCCUUAUCUCCGUUCUAAAAGGUCUAAGGCUGUGCCCUCGGCUCCUGGUCUCUCCUACCAAUGGAAACAUCUUCCCAAUGGCCACAGAUAGAUCAAAGUCAAAUACAAUAGCCUCUAUUCCAUUGAGUGUCCAGCACACUUUACAACACUUUGUAAAAUCAGGAGUGCCAUUGAUGAGGUGAGUGGCAGGUGUCUUUUCCCGAUAGAAUAAAGAAUAUUCCAGCACAGGAACAGGCCCUUCGGCCCUCAUGGGUUCAAAUACCAGUAAAAACAAACAUUGGGGAAAUUAAAUUUAAAUUUUUUUAAAAA